GUUGGGUAGGGGAGCGUUCUGUAAGCCUGUGAAGGUGUGUCGUGAGGCAUGCUGGAGGUAUCAGAAGUGCGAAUGCUGACAUAAGUAACGAUAAAGCGGGUGAAAAGCCCGCUCGCCGGAAGACCAAGGGUUCCUGUCCAACGUUAAUCGGGGCAGGGUGAGUCGACCCCUAAGGCGAGGCCGAAAGGCGUAGUCGAUGGGAAACGGGUUAAUAUUCCCGUACUUGGUGUUACUGCGAAGGGGGGACGGAGAAGGCUAUGUUGGCCGGGCGACGGUUGUCCCGGUUUAAGCGUGUAGGUGUGUGUUCCAGGUAAAUCCGGUUCACUUUAACACUGAGGCGUGAUGACGAGGCACUACGGUGCUGAAGCAACAAAUGCCCUGCUUCCAGGAAAAGCCUCUAAGCAUCAGGUAACAUCAAAUCGUACCCCAAACCGACACAGGUGGUCAGGUAGAGAAUACCAAGGCGCUUGAGAGAACUCGGGUGAAGGAACUAGGCAAAAUGGUGCCGUAACUUCGGGAGAAGGCACGCUGACAUGUAGGUGAAGUGAUUUACUCAUGGAGCUGAAGUCAGUCGAAGAUACCAGCUGGCUGCAACUGUUUAUUAAAAACACAGCACUGUGCAAACACGAAAGUGGACGUAUACGGUGUGACGCCUGCCCGGUGCCGGAAGGUUAAUUGAUGGGGUCAGCGCAAGCGAAGCUCCUGAUCGAAGCCCCGGUAAACGGCGGCCGUAACUAUAACGGUCCUAAGGUAGCGAAAUUCCUUGUCGGGUAAGUUCCGACCUGCACGAAUGGCGUAAUGAUGGCCAGGCUGUCUCCACCCGAGACUCAGUGAAAUUGAACUCGCUGUGAAGAUGCAGUGUACCCGCGGCAAGACGGAAAGACCCCGUGAACCUUUACUAUAGCUUGACACUGAACAUUGAGCCUUGAUGUGUAGGAUAGGUGGGAGGCUUUGAAG
RNAcentral lists this ribosomal RNA (957 nucleotides) under Salmonella enterica subsp. enterica serovar Infantis. RNAcentral's name for it is "partial 23S ribosomal RNA". It matches the Rfam family "Bacterial large subunit ribosomal RNA", at positions 1223 to 2162 of the family's 2925-position model. The record is from RNAcentral. Lineage: Bacteria; Pseudomonadati; Pseudomonadota; Gammaproteobacteria; Enterobacterales; Enterobacteriaceae.